RNAcentral lists this transfer RNA (76 nucleotides) under Gemmatimonadetes bacterium 13_1_40CM_4_65_7. RNAcentral's name for it is "tRNA-Lys". It matches the Rfam family "tRNA". From Rfam's summary of the family: Transfer RNA (tRNA) molecules are approximately 80 nucleotides in length. Lineage: Bacteria; Pseudomonadati; Gemmatimonadota. The record is from RNAcentral. RNAcentral also lists the same sequence under 6 other names.
GCCUGCAUAGCUCAGUUGGUAGAGCAGCUGACUCUUAAUCAGUUGGUCCCGGGUUCGAAUCCUGGUGCAGGCACCA